GCACAAGCAGUGGAGUAUGUGGUUUAAUUCGACGCAACGCGAAGAACCUUACCAAGUCUUGACAUCCUGCGACGCACAUAGAAAUAUGUGUUUCCUUCGGGACGCAGAGACAGGUGGUGCAUGGUUGUCGUCAGCUCGUGUCGUGAGAUGUUGGGUUAAGUCCCGCAACGAGCGCAACCCUUAUGGUCAGUUACUACGCAAGAGGACUCUGGCCAGACUGCCGUUGACAAA
Molecule: ribosomal RNA, 231 nt
Filed under: uncultured bacterium
Lineage: Bacteria
Description: partial 16S ribosomal RNA
Rfam family: Bacterial small subunit ribosomal RNA
Source: RNAcentral